AAACUUUCAACAACGGAUCUCUUGGUUCUGGCAUCGAUGAAGAACGCAGCGAAAUGCGAUAAGUAAUGUGAAUUGCAGAAUUCAGUGAAUCAUCGAAUCUUUGAACGCACAUUGCGCCCCGUGGAAUUCCAGCGGGCAUGCCUGUUCGAGCGUCAUUU
This 158-nucleotide ribosomal RNA is filed under the name Chrysoporthe cubensis. RNAcentral describes it as "5.8S ribosomal RNA". It matches the Rfam family "5.8S ribosomal RNA". From Rfam's summary of the family: 5.8S ribosomal RNA (5.8S rRNA) is a component of the large subunit of the eukaryotic ribosome. It is transcribed by RNA polymerase I as part of the 45S precursor that also contains 18S and 28S rRNA. Lineage: Eukaryota; Fungi; Ascomycota; Sordariomycetes; Diaporthales; Cryphonectriaceae. The record is from RNAcentral.